Molecule: ribosomal RNA, 577 nt
Filed under: uncultured bacterium
Lineage: Bacteria
Description: partial 16S ribosomal RNA
Rfam family: Bacterial small subunit ribosomal RNA
Source: RNAcentral
UGGGGAAUUUUGGACAAUGGGCGAAAGCCUGAUCCAGCAAUGCCGCGUGUGUGAAGAAGGCCUUCGGGUUGUAAAGCACUUUUGUCCGGAAAGAAAUCCUUGGCUCUAAUACAGUCGGGGGAUGACGGUACCGGAAGAAUAAGCACCGGCUAACUACGUGCCAGCAGCCGCGGUAAUACGUAGGGUGCAAGCGUUAAUCGGAAUUACUGGGCGUAAAGCGUGCGCAGGCGGUUUGCUAAGACCGAUGUGAAAUCCCCGGGCUCAACCUGGGAACUGCAUUGGGUGACUGGCAGGCUAGAGUAUGGCAGAGGGGGGUAGAAUUCCACGUGUAGCAGUGAAAUGCGUAGAGAUGUGGAGGAAUACCGAUGGCGAAGGCAGCCCCCUGGGCCAAUACUGACGCUCAUGCACGAAAGCGUGGGGGAGCAAAACAGGAUUAGAUACCCUGGUAGUCCACGCCCUAAAACGAUGUCAACUAGUUGUUGGGGGAUUCAUUUCCUUAGUAACGUAGCUAACGCGUGAAGUUGACCGCCUGGGGAGUACGGUCGCAAGAUUAAAACUCAAAUGAAUUGACGGGGUC